GUUUUGGCAAUGGCGAUUUCAGAGCUGGUUCUGGUUAAACAAAAAGGAUUUUAGUCUUCAACCAAAAGAUCUAUCUCUGUAGGCUUCCUUUCUAUAACGUUGGCAGACAGAAGAAUAAUCUGAGCCCGUCAGUGGCAAAAACAGCAACUAGUGGACAGGAAUCGACGAUGGGCAUUUUCCUUAUAGGAUCACAUCGCAGCCCGCAUUGCACCUCCAGUUACAGUGUUCUCGCUCAUUACUGGACAAGAUAUUUUAUUUACAUUAGUCCCUUAGACACCAAUGCAUGGGAAAAUAGGGCCUAGGUUGAAAGAAAAAAAAAAAAAAAAUUACCGUUGAACUAAUUAUCAAGUAAGAGAAAAUGAAUGCCACCUUGAAACUGUUCAGGGAAGUUAGAGGUAGAGACGCUGACUAGUAACCAGAGGGUUGUUGGUUUGACCCUCAUAAGCAGAAUGUGUUUGAGUCCCCCGUACGCCGAGCAUUGAACCCCUAAAGCACUCCGUCGCCAAACUGGUUUGAAGAGUCCUAAAUGUGCAAGGAAGGUUUUAAAGAUGUUUCUACCUCUAGAAGUAAAUGAAGCUGAUAGAAGAAUCACGUUGUGACGGGUCAACCCUCCGCUCACCUGUCGGGGACGGACGCAAAGGUGGAGGCAGCGAGGAGAGAAGGUCAGGGACUUCAGAGGGAUGCAUUGCUGUGUAUGUUACACUUCCAACCGCCCCAUUCCUUCCCUCAGUGGCAGAAGUAUUACUGUGCAUCUAGUUGUAGUAAAUUAAGCUAUUUUAAAUACUGUAAUAAAAAAGGAAUAAUAUAUAUGUAUUUUAACAGAUGUUCUCUUCUUUCUCAGUGAGGUUUAUGCCGUUUAAAAAAAAUAAUUAAAUAAUAGAACUCUAUUUAAAAUGAAAUGACGAAAAAAAACUGCAGGUGUCUAAAUGUUUUAUAAAAGAUGAGUAAUAUUUUGUAUAAGAUGUGAUAUUUUGUGUGAUUUGUCUACAUUGUUAUGAAAUGAGAAAUUGAAUGUUCUGUGACUGCCAUCAGGCAUAAAAUUGAUUUAUUAAUUGAUUAUUUAAUGAGGAAACUAUUAAAAAUUCUGGCACACACUCAC
Long non-coding RNA from Etheostoma cragini (Arkansas darter), 1099 nucleotides. RefSeq lists it as uncharacterized. The transcript has 2 exons. Lineage: Eukaryota; Metazoa; Chordata; Actinopteri; Perciformes; Percidae. The record is from RefSeq and is a predicted model, not a curated record.